Molecule: non-coding RNA, 98 nt
Filed under: uncultured Rummeliibacillus sp.
Lineage: Bacteria; Bacillati; Bacillota; Bacilli; Caryophanales; Caryophanaceae
Description: SAM riboswitch (S box leader)
Rfam family: SAM riboswitch aptamer (S box leader)
About the family: The SAM riboswitch is found upstream of a number of genes which code for proteins involved in methionine or cysteine biosynthesis in Gram-positive bacteria. The SAM riboswitch acts at the level of transcription termination control.
Source: RNAcentral
UCUUAUCGAGAGAGAUGGAGGGACUGGCCCUGUGAAAUCUCAGCAACCACCAAUUUGGUAAGGUGCUAAUUCCAGUAGAUGUAUUUCUAGCAGAUAAG